UAAAAAAUAAAAAGCCCAAAAUCACGCCUGAAACACACAUUCUCUCAUUCCUUCCAUCUUGCUCGAACCCAUCACACCCUCCUCCAUAUGAAACCCUCGCGCCUCCAUCUUAUCCGAUCUCACUCUCUCCAUCUCGCUCGAUCUCAUUACUCACUCCGUCCAUCUCUCUCAAUCUCACUCAGCAACUCCCUCCAUCUCUCUUUCGAUCUCACUCACUCGGGUCUCUCUCUCGGUCUCUCCAUCCAUCUUCGUCUCUCUCUCAAACGAUGACGCAACACCGACACCACGGGCGACGCACCUCCGCCGCCCCUCCACUUUUGAGAGCCCCUCCGUCGCCCCUCUCUCUUAGCUAGAGCUGUGGUAGACCAUAGUUUUGGGAAAGACCUUCCUUCUGUUUCGGUUGAGAGCUUUGAGUACUUUCCUGGAAAAGGUCUCAUUGCUACACUUAAUAGCCUUGAGGUAAGUCUAUAAAGAUUCACACAAAUUCUUGUUGAUUUUUCAAAAUAGUGACACUUGUGCCAUUUUUCUGUCUAAAUAUAUAUGGCAAUGAACACAUAUCAAUCAACCAAUAUAAAAGUAUAAUUGAUAGAUGUGCCGACAUUUAUCCAUUAGACUCUGCUCUAUUUAUUAUGAUGAUGAUGAUUGUUUCUCUUGACUUACUUUACAUGUUAUUUAUUUAUUUAUUCAUCAAGUGUUUAACAUUCGUUUCAAGUUAUUGCAGAUAGAAAGGGGAGAUUGUAAAUUGCUGAAAGUAUCACUUGGCUCUGUAGACUUUAUUACAUCAUGUUGUAAAUUUGAAGGUGAUUCAAUAAAAUCAAGGAUGCUGUGAGUGCAUCAUCGUAUGGAAGUGAAUUUGUUCGUGCUGCACUUUCAGUCAAUGAAAAGGCAUUCGUUUUGAUGUAUUGUAGUGUUGAAUUUUCAUCUUCCAUUUACUGGAAAUAAAGUUUGAUAUGAUGAGGUUUUGUUACAACUCUAUGCUGUCUAUGAUUUUGAUUUCACCACCGACGAGAACUGCCAGAAAAGCAAGAUUUUCUUCGUCGCUUGGUCACCUAACACAUCAAGGGUGAGGAGUAAGAUGGUGUAUGCAAGUUCUAAAGAUAGAUUCAAGAGGGAAUUGGACUGCAUUUCUGCUGUUCAUGCUAGCUAUAUUGGGAGCUUGUUCAAUCAUCAAUAGGUUCACCCG
Long non-coding RNA from Cannabis sativa, 1183 nucleotides. RefSeq lists it as uncharacterized. The transcript is spliced from 4 exons. Lineage: Eukaryota; Viridiplantae; Streptophyta; Magnoliopsida; Rosales; Cannabaceae. The record is from RefSeq and is a predicted model, not a curated record.